This 450-nucleotide ribosomal RNA is filed under the name uncultured bacterium. RNAcentral describes it as "partial 16S ribosomal RNA". It matches the Rfam family "Bacterial small subunit ribosomal RNA", at positions 354 to 796 of the family's 1533-position model. The record is from RNAcentral.
GUGGGGAAUAUUGGACAAUGGGCGCAAGCCUGAUCCAGCCAUACCGCGUGGGUGAAGAAGGCCUUCGGGUUGUAAAGCCCUUUUGUUGGGAAAGAAAUCCUGUCGAUUAAUACUCGGUGGGGAUGACGGUACCCAAAGAAUAAGCACCGGCUAACUUCGUGCCAGCAGCCGCGGUAAUACGAAGGGUGCAAGCGUUACUCGGAAUUACUGGGCGUAAAGCGUGCGUAGGUGGUGGUUUAAGUCUGCUGUGAAAGCCCUGGGCUCAACCUGGGAAUUGCAGUGGAUACUGGGUCACUAGAGUGUGGUAGAGGGAUGCGGAAUUUCUGGUGUAGCAGUGAAAUGCGUAGAGAUCAGAAGGAACAUCCGUGGCGAAGGCGGCAUCCUGGGCCAACACUGACACUGAGGCACGAAAGCGUGGGGAGCAAACAGGAUUAGAUACCCGUGUAGUCC